Molecule: ribosomal RNA, 252 nt
Filed under: uncultured bacterium
Lineage: Bacteria
Description: partial 16S ribosomal RNA
Rfam family: Bacterial small subunit ribosomal RNA
Source: RNAcentral
ACGUAAAGCGCAUGCAGGUUGGUUUAGUUAAGUCAGAUGUAGAAACGGCCCGGGGCUACCAACCCGUACGGUAAUUGACUAUUUAGAAACGUGGACAAACUAGAGUACUGUAGGAGGGGGUAGAAUUUCAGGUGUAGCGGUGAAAUGCGUAGAGAUCUGAAGGAAUACCGGUGGCGAAGGCGGCCCCCUGGACAGAUACUGACACUCAGAUGCGAAAGCGUGGGGAGCAAACAGGAUUAGAUACCCUGGUAG